RNAcentral lists this long non-coding RNA (2829 nucleotides) under Sus scrofa (pig). RNAcentral describes it as "lncRNA (ENSSSCG00030003271.1)". Lineage: Eukaryota; Metazoa; Chordata; Mammalia; Artiodactyla; Suidae. The record is from RNAcentral.
UAAAACAGAAGAAGUCUCCCUCAAAGAAAUCCUUACAUUUAUUUGUCAUAUAUCCUUGGAUUCCACUUGGCUGUGACUUUCUCAGAGCGCUGGUCAGGUAUUUUGUAGACUUAUAUAGAAUGUGCCUGAUGAAUUAUGAGAAGGACUACAGAGGAUUGUUUUGGGGCUCCUGCAUAAGAGAAAUAUUAAAAAGGUGAAAUGGUAGCACUGCAAUAUGAGGGGAGAAAUAGAGAAAAAAUGAUUUCAAGCCUCUUAUGGGAGAAUGAUUUGUUUGUUUGACAGAAAUGAGAUUGCUCUAAGAGAUUAACCUAGGAAGCAAUGGAGUCAGGAAGGAAGCUGAGACCAGAAAAUGAAGAUUCUGAAGUAAAUGGGUACUUGCUCUGACCAAGAUCGAAACCCACCUCUCCCCAGGGAAUAUUGGAAGAGGGCAUGGAAGACAAGCAUUGGAAAAGUAGAAUGUUUUUGCUUUUCUUUCUGGUGGACUGCAUUAAAUAUUCAGCAAAAGGAGGGAUCAAUUUACAUUACUCUUCUUGUUUCUCAUGUAUCGACUGACAGGUGCUGUAAACAUACAUAGACAAACAUAGUCCUAAGCUUGCAGUGCUCUGGUGACCAAGGGAAGACAGGCUUCAGUCUCCCAAAGUGAUCACACUGAGAAUUUAGCAGACACACUAUGCUCAGCUUGGAGCAUCCAUUCUAUUCCCACAAAACAAUAGGAGCUUGCCUUUCAGCUGUGAUUCUCAAGAAAACCCAUUCAGAGAAAUGGUUUUGUUGCACUGAUGAGUUACUAAGGUAGAACAAUCUUGUUUUGAUUCUGGAGACUUAACUGAAACCUUCACUAGUAUUUUUGAAAUAAUAGCAGCAAGAACCUAAGAGGCACCCUUGUCUUCUAAACAUCUUGCUUUGCUGGUGGUAAAACGCCAAUUCACAGCUCCUCGAUUUCACCAAGGGUGGAAGCCCAGCCACCAGGGAUAAAGAACCGACCUUGGCUUUGAGGUGAGAACCAGUAUUUAAAGGAUUCACUGAUUCAUGUUCUAGAGAUGUCAUGGUAAAUAAAUUAUGACUGUUUAUACUGAAAACUAAGAGGCUCCUUAUUCUACACUAUAGGCAGCGAUUUGGCUGAGAUUGUCUCAUUCUGUGAUACUAUCACACACUACCUUUUUUCUCACUUGAAUUGUACUUUUGGCUGUCAUUUGCGCUUUUGAAUAAAGGUUUGCAUUAGUGGAAGAUAUCAUAAUAGCAUAUCUCCUUUUCCUGAGUUGAUAUACAAAUCAAAAAGAAAGGAUAAGGCCAAGACUCCCUUUGUCCUUGGGAAAGUAUGCCAUCUGCAUUUAGCUUAUGAUAUUCGGCUGGGAACAAAAUUCUAGCAUAAGGAAGUCGUUAAUACAACCCUCAACUUACACUGUAAAUUCAAAGUACUUUAAAUGCCUUAUAAUAGUCAAAGCCAGUAAAAUCGACCCUGUAUAUUUUUAUUUCAUCUCUGUUGGAUCAUAUGAUAUUUAAUAAUUGGUUCUGGCACCUCGUUGCAAAUUAUUAUAACUUUGAGAUUCAACAGUCCUAUUGAACAUAUGGGCAGCACAGCCUCAGAACAUAUAUAUGAUACAGCCUCUUGAGAGGACCUUCUGUCUUGUUUUCCUUAGCUUGGAAGGGUCAGAUAAAUUUUGCUGUGUCGUCAUGUGCUAAGAUUCCUCAAUCUCUGUUUUGCAGGGUAAAAGCUUAAUGGAACUGAUUUUUUUUUUUUCUGCCUUAACUGUGAACACUUCCUAUGCAAAGCCAAAAGAGAAAUUCGUGCAUCUGGGAUGCAGUUUAGUGGGCUCUUACUAAAGCAGAUAUAAAGCUAUUCCAGUACCAGUGUACAAGUAUUCAUCAACCCAGAAUAGGUUCUCUAACUUAGUGCCAUAUUGUAUCCUGGUUUAGCAGCAAACUACAAGAGUUUCUGGAGUCAGGAGACCUUCCCAUGCUAUUAAAGCAUAUGAUGUUUCUUUACUAAUCCUGGAGAAGAUGGAAAGUUGACGAUAAAAUACAGUUGACCCCAAGAAACCUUUCAUAUAGUUAGAUAUUCUCCCUUCACUAUUUCCUUUUUCCAGCUCCACUCUCAGUAUCACCCUGAGACAAUGUUAGGAAAAGCAAUUCUGCAUCAACAGCCCAUUAAGGUUAUUUUCAAAGUUCCUGCUGCUUUGCCUCUAUAUCUAGCCUGUGUGCCUUGACUCGCACUUGUAUUAUUUCACAUUAAUUGCCAUAUUGUUUAUUGCCAUAUUCAAACAUGUUAUAAUAUGGGCACAGUGGCGAUAAUUACAUAGUUAGCUGUCCUUAAAAAGAGAUGUCAAGAUGGAUAGUGGUGGGUGGGGUAGGCAGAAGGUUAUGAUUUAUACCUUUUGUUGACAUUGUGGAACAGAGCUGGUUCAAUUUCUCUUGAUUUCACUGUAAUGCCUAAUACUAAAAUUUCUCUGUCAUAUAAUUAUUCAUUACUAAGACUACUAAGCUAAAAAGUUCAUGAAGGUGGGGGGCAAUGGUUAAAGGAAAUUUUCAAGCACUGAUUUUCCUCUUGCUAUUGUAAUAUUACAUUUUAAAAAUUGACAUAUUUUUGGACAAGAAAUACCAUAUUUGAUGUCUAUAAUCCUAACUCAUUUUAAAACUAAAUAACCUGUUUUCUUUAAGAAAUUUUUUUUGGACAAAAAUACUUUUCAUACCUAUGCUUUUGUGCACAGAUAUUUGCUCUAAAUAUGCAAAAAAAGACAUUCUGAGACUCUGGAAUGUGAUUCCUUCCACCCCACUUUGUUAUAGUUAUAAAAAUUCUCCUCUCAUUGAGCCAUCCUACCCUCUGUCACCACC